Molecule: ribosomal RNA, 253 nt
Filed under: uncultured bacterium
Lineage: Bacteria
Description: partial 16S ribosomal RNA
Rfam family: Bacterial small subunit ribosomal RNA
Source: RNAcentral
UACGUAGGGGGCAAGCGUUGUUCGGAAUUACUGGGCGUAAAGCGCACGUAGGCGGAUGUGUCAGUCAGGGGUGAAAUCCCGGAGCUCAACUUCGGAACUGCCUUUGAUACAGCACGUCUUGAGUCCGAUAGAGGUGGGUGGAAUUCCUAGUGUAGAGGUGAAAUUCGUAGAUAUUAGGAAGAACACCGGUGGCGAAGGCGGCCCACUGGUCCGGUACUGACGCUGAGGUGCGAAAGCGUGGGGAGCAAACAGG